Long non-coding RNA from Oxyura jamaicensis (ruddy duck), 339 nucleotides. RefSeq lists it as uncharacterized. The transcript is spliced from 3 exons. The record is from RefSeq and is a predicted model, not a curated record. NCBI's taxonomy places the organism in Eukaryota, Metazoa, Chordata, Aves, Anseriformes, Anatidae.
AAGCACUUGAAAGGAAGAAAAAGCUUUCCAUUUUUAACUCAGUGAAUUUCAGAACAGAGCAAGCAACACAUGGACUUUAAAUGAUAAUGUUUGCCUACAGUAAACAGCACACUUGGUCUGCAGACUCGAUGCGAAUGGAAAGUAAUGGAGAAGAAUGCAUAUAAUUAGUAGUAGACAGCACUGGACACACACCCUGAUUUCCUGUAGAAAGACACCUGGAUUUGCACCUUUACAAGGAGUGGGAUAUCAUCCUCCCAGCUUCAUAAGGAGGGAUGAGGAUAUCACCAUAGACUGCCCAAGUUACAAUGUAUCUGAGGCAGCUUAAUUCCCCUUUUAUCU